Molecule: ribosomal RNA, 253 nt
Filed under: uncultured bacterium
Lineage: Bacteria
Description: partial 16S ribosomal RNA
Rfam family: Bacterial small subunit ribosomal RNA
Source: RNAcentral
UACGGAAUGUGCAAACGUUAUUCGGAAUCACUGGGCUUAAAGAGUCCGUAGGCGGCAUGUUAGGUGAGGUGUGAAAUCCCCCGGCUCAACCGAGGAAUUGCGCUUCAAACCGGCGUGCUCGAGGAAGAUAGAGGUGGGCGGAACUGAUGGUGGAGCGGUGAAAUGCGUUGAUAUCAUCAGGAACACCGGAGGCGAAAGCGGCCCACUGAGUCUUUUCUGACGCUGAGGGACGAAAGCUAGGGGAGCGAACGGG